UACGUAAGUGGUGGAAAUUAAACCAAAUGGGAUAUCUUUAGUAAUUGCGAAUGAACAAGGAUAUGCUUAGCUUGACAAAUGGAGCUAUUGGCUUUGAAUUGUAUUUGUGGAAUGUAUUACCAACAGAGGUGCAGGUGCCAGCCUAUUAAAUAAAGCGUCAAUGAGGGUGAGAAUCCUGUUUGUCAUGUGCAGCCCUUUGUGCACGGUGUAUAUUUGCUGAGUCACACUCCUUGGCAUUGGAAUGCAAAGUGGGUGGUAAGUUUCAUGUACAGGUAAACAUGCAAUUGAGACUGAUAGCACACAAGUACCAUGAGGGAAAUAUGAAAAGGACUUUGAACAGAGAAUUAAAUGAGUUUGUAUUUGCUGAACACAAAGUAAACAGACUUGAUUUGCUUGGUGGGAGUGUUGCACUUGCUUGACAAGAGCUUUGGGCUGUGGGCGUAAUGAUUCUUUCUUUGCAUGCCAGUUUCUAUGUGUACAUCUGAUUACCUUUGCACAUGAAUGAUAAGUCUCCUGUGGGGGGUGGAUUGCAUGUGCAUGUAAUGAUUUGUGUUUUGAUAAAUGUGUCUGGUGUAUGUGUGUGUGUUCCUGUGCUUGGGGAUGCUUCCUUCCUUGGACUUACAAGCCCUGACACACACAUGCUGGCAAAAUGCUUCUGCUUGACCCG
This 667-nucleotide ribosomal RNA is filed under the name Alexandrium fundyense. Its description in RNAcentral is "LSU rRNA". It matches the Rfam family "Eukaryotic large subunit ribosomal RNA", at positions 43 to 651 of the family's 3401-position model. Lineage: Eukaryota; Dinophyceae; Gonyaulacales; Pyrocystaceae. The record is from RNAcentral.